This 464-nucleotide ribosomal RNA is filed under the name Vreelandella stevensii. Its description in RNAcentral is "partial 16S ribosomal RNA". It matches the Rfam family "Bacterial small subunit ribosomal RNA", at positions 339 to 795 of the family's 1533-position model. Lineage: Bacteria; Pseudomonadati; Pseudomonadota; Gammaproteobacteria; Oceanospirillales; Halomonadaceae. The record is from RNAcentral.
UUACGGGUGGCAGCAGUGGGGAAUAUUGGACAAUGGGCGAAAGCCUGAUCCAGCCAUGCCGCGUGUGUGAAGAAGGCCUUCGGGUUGUAAAGCACUUUCAGUGGGGAAGAAAGCCUUGGGGCUAAUACCCUCGAGGAAGGACAUCACCCACAGAAGAAGCACCGGCUAACUCCGUGCCAGCAGCCGCGGUAAUACGGAGGGUGCGAGCGUUAAUCGGAAUUACUGGGCGUAAAGCGCGCGUAGGCGGUCUGAUAAGCCGGUUGUGAAAGCCCCGGGCUCAACCUGGGAACGGCAUCCGGAACUGUCAGGCUAGAGUGCAGGAGAGGAAGGUAGAAUUCCCGGUGUAGCGGUGAAAUGCGUAGAGAUCGGGAGGAAUACCAGUGGCGAAGGCGGCCUUCUGGACUGACACUGACGCUGAGGUGCGAAAGCGUGGGUAGCAAACAGGAUUAGAUACCCCAGUAGUC